GAUGAAGAACGCAGCGAAAUGCGAUAAGUAAUGCGAAUUGCAGAAUUUCCGUGAGUCAUCGAAUCUUUGAACGCACAUUGCGCCCGCCAGCAUCCUGGCGGGCAUGCCUGUCCGAGCGUCAUCUCAACCCGUCAAGCGCCGCUUGUGCUGGGGCCCUGCGGCCGCCGCAGGCCCCGAAAUGGAGUGGCGGGACCGCCGCCGCGCCGAGCGUAGUAGCGAUAGCCUCGCUCCGGAGCGGCGGCGGCCACCGGCCGUAAAAGCCCCCACCCGUAACCAGGUUGACCUCGGAUCAGGUAGGAAUACCCGCUGAACUUAAGCAUAUCAAUAAGCGGAGGA
Molecule: unclassified non-coding RNA, 336 nt
Filed under: soil metagenome
Description: partial contains 5.8S ribosomal RNA, internal transcribed spacer 2, and large subunit ribosomal RNA
Rfam family: 5.8S ribosomal RNA (bases 1-121)
Source: RNAcentral